UCGGGAAUUUUGGGCAAUGGGCGAAAGCCUGACCCAGCAACGCCGCGUGAGGGAUGAAGUAUUUCGGUAUGUAAACCUCGAAAGAAUGGGAAGAAUAAAUGACGGUACCAUUUAUAAGCUCCGGCUAACUACGUGCCAGCAGCCGCGGUAAUACGUAGGGAGCAAGCGUUGUUCGGAUUUACUGGGCGUAAAGGGCGCGUAGGCGGCGCGGUAAGUCACUUGUGAAAUCUCUGAGUUUAACUCAGAGCGGCCAAGUGAUACUGCUGUGCUAGAGUGCGGAAGAGGCAACCGGAAUUCUUGGUGUAGCGGUGAAAUGCGUAGAUAUCAAGAGGAACACCUGAGGCGAAGGCGGGUUGCUGGGCCGACACUGACGCUGAUGCGCGAAAGCC
This 389-nucleotide ribosomal RNA is filed under the name uncultured bacterium. RNAcentral's name for it is "bacterial SSU rRNA". It matches the Rfam family "Bacterial small subunit ribosomal RNA", at positions 355 to 761 of the family's 1533-position model. The record is from RNAcentral.